Molecule: unclassified non-coding RNA, 376 nt
Filed under: uncultured Chloroflexota bacterium
Lineage: Bacteria; Bacillati; Chloroflexota
Description: uncultured Chloroflexi bacterium contains 16S-23S intergenic spacer region
Source: RNAcentral
UCCGGCUUAUCACCGGCAGUUUCUUUAGAGUGCUCAACUAAAUGGUAGCAACUAAAGACGAGGGUUGCGCUCGUUGCGGGACUUAACCCAACAUCUCACGGCACGAGCUGACGACGGCCAUGCAGCAUCUGUGAUACAGCCCCGAAGGGAAACCGGCUUUCACCGGCGGUCCGUACCAUGUCAAGCCCUGGUAAGGUUCUUCGCGUCGCUUCGAAUUAAACCGCACGCUCCGCUGCUUGUGCGGGCCCCCGUCAAUUCCUUUGAGUUUUAGCCUUGCGGCCGUAGUCCCCAGGCGGAGUACUUAUCGCGUUAGCUUCGUUACCGAGGGGGUCGAUACCCCCGACAACUAGUACUCAUCGUUUACGGCGUGGACUAC